RNAcentral lists this ribosomal RNA (253 nucleotides) under uncultured bacterium. RNAcentral describes it as "partial 16S ribosomal RNA". It matches the Rfam family "Bacterial small subunit ribosomal RNA", at positions 524 to 776 of the family's 1533-position model. The record is from RNAcentral.
UACGGGGGGAGCAAGCGUUGUUCGGAUUUACUGGGCGUAAAGCGUGCGUAGACGGCUAUUUAAGUCGGGUGUGAAAGCCCCGGGCUCAACCUGGGAAUUGCAUUCGAGACUGAGCAGCUAGGGUGCGGUAGAGGGAAGCGGAAUUUCCGGUGUAGCGGUGAAAUGCGUAGAUAUCGGGAGGAACAUCAGUGGCGAAAGCGGCUUCCUGGACCAGCACCGACGUUCAGGCACGAAAGCGUGGGGAGCAAACAGG